This 70-nucleotide transfer RNA is filed under the name Dipodomys ordii (Ord's kangaroo rat). It matches the Rfam family "tRNA". From Rfam's summary of the family: Transfer RNA (tRNA) molecules are approximately 80 nucleotides in length. Their secondary structure includes four short double-helical elements and three loops (D, anti-codon, and T loops). Lineage: Eukaryota; Metazoa; Chordata; Mammalia; Rodentia; Heteromyidae. The record is from Rfam by way of RNAcentral.
UGGGAUGUAGCUCAGUGGCAAAGCACUUGCCUAGAAAGCACAACGUCCUGGGUUCAAUCCCCAGUACCAA